Molecule: RNA transcript, 2807 nt
Organism: Quercus lobata
Lineage: Eukaryota; Viridiplantae; Streptophyta; Magnoliopsida; Fagales; Fagaceae
Gene name: G-type lectin S-receptor-like serine/threonine-protein kinase RKS1
Exons: 7
Source: RefSeq, a predicted model, not a curated record
UCACGUUCCUUGUAUCAUAUAUCAAGCCUUUAACAAACCUUAUCUAUUCAACCUCUAUUUCCAGUGAGCAAAAAGACAUAUCUACAACCUUACUCGUCAUGAUCAUAUAUUUUGCUAAGGGGUUUCUAUUUCUACAAACAUUUCUUCUAUUUGGUUUUUCCCAGUUUGGCACUUCGCAAAAAAUCUCUCAUGGGUUUCUUACUAUCAGCAACGCCAUCAGAGAUGGUCACUUUUUAGUCUCUGAAGGAGAAACCUUUGCACUUGGUUUCUUUCGUCCCGGAGUGUCCACCAACCGCUAUGUUGGAAUUCGGUAUAAUAAAGCUCCACAACAACCCGUGGUGUGGGUUGCAAACAGAGACAAUCCUAUCAAUGAUUCUUCUGGGGUUCUCUCAAUUGAUGCUCAUGGAAACCUAGUACUCCAUGUCAAAGAUCGGAACCAAUCCAUCUGGUCCACAAAUAUUACCUCAAAAUCAAUCGACAACAGUACUUUUGCUCAGCUCUUGGAUUCAGGAAAUCUGCAAUUGGUUCUUAACAAAACUGGUGAGGUACUAUGGCAAAGCUUUGAUUAUCCAACUGAUACAAAUCUUCCAAACAUGAAACUUGGGCUGGACAGAAGAACUGGUCUGAGCCGAAUCCUAACAUCUUCGAAGUCCAAAGAUGAUCAGGAACUGGAAAUUGUUCCUAUGUGCUCAACACCAAUAGCUCCUCCCCGGAGUUGUAUUUGUACAAAAGUAACAUUUUGCUGUGGCGUUCUGGUCAUUGGAAUGGAAUUGGAUGGAGCGGGAUACCCCAACUCUCAAAAUCUAAUUUGCUCUUCAAUUCUAGUCUGGUGAACAACCAAACUGAGACUACUAUAAGUUGGACUGAAAUCCUUCAAGGAACAUUCCAAAGAUCAGUGAUAAACGAAUCGGGGUAUAUUGAACGCCUUGUGAGUAGGGACACUAGGGACGGAGGAAAAAUAUGGCUUUCUCUGGGGAAAAUGCCUGACACACUGUGUGAUAAUUACGGCAAGUGUGGUACAUUUGGAAAAUGUCAACUUCAAAAUGAUACUAAAUUUGAAUGCACUUGUCUACCUGGGUUCCAACCGAAGUCACCAAGUGAAUGGUUUUCGAGAAAUGCAUCUGGUGGGUGUGUGAGAAAGCGUGGACAGGAAUCUAUAUGCAAGAGCGGUGAUGGGUUUGCGAAGGUAGAAAAUGUGAAGCUUCCGGAUAGUUCACUUGCACAACUUGAUGAGAAUCUGAGUUUGAAGGACUGUCAGCAACAAUGCUUGCAGAAUUGUAAUUGCACGGCGUAUGGAGGUGUGGAUACAAAGGAGCAAGUCGGGUGUUUGAGAUGGCAUGGUGAUUUGAUAGACACGAGUGUGUUAGAUGGGGGUCAAAAUUUGUACGUACGAGUGGAUGCGCUUGAGUUGGGUCAUUCCAAUGGGUUCUUUGCCGACAAGAGGAGGCUAGCAAUUAUGAUAGUGGCCCUACUUGUUACUCCAUUACUAAUUUUCCUCUGUGCAUAUUGGUUGAUUAGGAGAAAAAGGAAAGCAAGGGAAAGACAACUCAAAUUUUUCAUUGAUGCUACUACAAGUUCAACAACCUUUCAAGAUUCUCAGAAGCUUGAUGAAGGUAGAAGAAAACCAGAUUUACCAAUUUUUGACAUAAGCACCAUACUUGCAGCAACAGACAAUUUCUCACCUACUAAAAGACUUGGUCAAGGUGGCUUUGGCCCGGUCUACAAGGGCCAACUAGCCAAUGGACAGGAAAUAGCAGUAAAAGCACUCUCAAGAAGUUCAAGGCAGGGUACAGAAGAAUUUAAGAAUGAAGUCAUGCUAAUAGCCAAACUCCAGCAUAGGAAUCUUGUGAGGCUUUUUGGUUGCUGCAUCCAUAAAGAAGAGAAGAUGUUAAUCUAUGAAUACAUGCCAAAUAAAAGCCUAGACUUUUUCAUCUUUGACGAAAUCGGAAGGCAAUCGUUGGAUUGGAGUAAGCGAUUUGAAAUUAUUUCUGGUAUUGCUCGAGGAGUCUUAUAUCUUCAUCAAGAUUCAAGACUAAAAAUCAUCCAUAGAGAUCUAAAAACAAGCAAUGUACUACUCGAUGCUGCGAUGAAUCCAAAAAUUUCAGAUUUUGGUUUGGCUAGAAUGUUUGGAGAUGACCAAAUUGAAGCAAAUACAAAGAGAGUUGUUGGCACCUAUGGAUAUAUGGCACCAGAGUAUGCAAUGGAAGGAUUAUAUUCUACCAAAUCAGAUGUGUUUAGCUAUGGUGUCUUAACACUAGAGAUAAUUAGUGGCAAGAGAAAUAAUCACUAUCAUGUUGCAAGUCCAUGGCUAAAUUUAAUAGGACAUGCUUGGGAUUUAUGGAUGGAAGGCAAAGCCUUGGACAUAGUCGACUCAUCAUUGGGUCAAGCAUAUCCUGCUCAUGAAGUUUCAAGAUGUAUUCAAAUUGGGCUUUUAUGUGUGCAAGAACAAGCAAUGGAUCGCCCAACCAUGAUUGAAAUUGUAUUCAUGCUGGGAAAUGAAACACCUCUUCCCGCACCAAAAAAGCCAGCAUUUAUUAAUAGAGGAAAUAUAAAUAAUGGUCAAGACUCAUCAAGUUCCAUAGGAGCACCUGGUUCAAUCAAUGAUGUAACCAUGUCUGUGCUUGAAGCUCGUUGAAGUAUGCACUUAUUACUUGUACUACAAUUUCAUAUUUGAAGAAAUACAAUGCUUAUGGUACUCUAUAGAACACUCUUGUGGUGUUCUACCAAUAAACUUGUGGUAGACGUUUCAGUUUUCUGUGGUUUGAAAGAACACUUACUAUAUUAUAAUCUCUUCGUUAUAGUUCAAG